Molecule: ribosomal RNA, 424 nt
Filed under: uncultured Nitrosospira sp.
Lineage: Bacteria; Pseudomonadati; Pseudomonadota; Betaproteobacteria; Nitrosomonadales; Nitrosomonadaceae
Description: bacterial SSU rRNA
Rfam family: Bacterial small subunit ribosomal RNA
Source: RNAcentral
CAAGACCUUGCUNUCUUUGAGCGGCCGAUGUCUGAUUAGCUAGUUGGUGAGGUAAAGGCUUACCAAGGCGACGAUCAGUAGCUGGUCUGAGAGGACGACCAGCCACACUGGGACUGAGACACGGCCCAGACUCCUACGGGAGGCAGCAGUGGGGAAUUUUGGACAAUGGGGGAAACCCUGAUCCAGCCAUGCCGCGUGAGUGAAGAAGGCCUUCGGGUUGUAAAGCUCUUUCAGCCGGAACGAAACGGUCACGGCUAAUACCUGUGACUACUGACGGUACCGGAAGAAGAAGCACCGGCUAACUACGUGCCAGCAGCCGCGGUAAUACGUAGGGUGCAAGCGUUAAUCGGAAUUACUGGGCGUAAAGCGUGCGCAGGCGGUUUUGUAAGUCAGAUGUGAAAUCCCCGGGCUUAACCUGGGAACU